GCACCACCCGCGGUAAUUCCAGCUCCAAUAGCGUAUAUUAAAGUUGUUGCGGUUAAAAAGCUCGUAGUUGGAUUUCUGUUGAACACUGCCGGUCCACCUUAUGGGUGAGUAUCUGGAUAGGGUUCGGCAUCCUCACGAUUAACGCUCUGCGCUUCAUUGCGUGGUACGGGGGUCGUGACUUUUACUUUGAGGAAAUUAGAGUGUUCACGGCAGGCAUACGCCUUGAAUAUAUUAGCAUGGAAUAAUACUAUAGGAUUUCGGUUCUAUUUUGUUGGUUUCUAGAGCUGAGAUAAUGAUUAAUAGGGACAAUUGGGGGCAUUCGUAUUGACGAGUCAGAGGGGAAAUUCUGGGAUUUCGUCACGACGAACUACUGCGAAAGCAUUUGCCAAGGAUGUUUUCAUUGAUCAAGAACGAAAGU
Molecule: ribosomal RNA, 418 nt
Filed under: uncultured eukaryote
Lineage: Eukaryota
Description: SSU rRNA
Rfam family: Eukaryotic small subunit ribosomal RNA
Source: RNAcentral